RNAcentral lists this transfer RNA (78 nucleotides) under bacterium. RNAcentral's name for it is "tRNA-Pro". It matches the Rfam family "tRNA". Rfam says of the family: Transfer RNA (tRNA) molecules are approximately 80 nucleotides in length. Their secondary structure includes four short double-helical elements and three loops (D, anti-codon, and T loops). The record is from RNAcentral. RNAcentral also lists the same sequence under 9 other names.
GGGCCUGUGGGUUAGUCUGGUCUAUGCUUGUUCGUUUGGGACGAACAGACUCUGGUUCAAAUCCAGGCAGGCCCACCA